CUCGUCCUAUGUUGCCAGCGAGUUCGGGGACUCAUAGGAGACUGCCGGGGUCAACUCGGAGGAAGGUGGGGAUGACGUCAAGUCAUCAUGCCCCUUACGUCUUGGGCUGCACACAUGCUACAAUGGCCGGUACAAAGGGCUGCGAUACCGCGAGGUGGAGCGAAUCCCAAAAAGCCGGUCUCAGUUCGGAUCGGGGUCUGCAACUCGACCCCGUGAAGUCGGAGUCGCUAGUAAUCGCAGAUCAGCAAUGCUGCGGUGAAUACGUUCCCGGCCUUGUACACACCGCCCGUCACGUCACGAAAGUCGGUAACACCCGAAGCCGGUGGCCUAACCCUAGGAGCCGUCGAAGGUGGGACCGGCGAUUGGGACGAAGUCGUAACAAGGUAGCCGUACCGGAAGGUGCGGCUGGAUCACCUCCUUUCUAAGGAGCGUUCCUCCUGGGGGCGGGUGGUCCAGGGCCAGGGCCGGGCGAGUGUCCCGGUCUGGUUGCUCGAGGGCGUGGACGCUGACGCCUGCCGGUCGCUGCCGGCUCCUAGUACGGGUGGGAACGGGGUCGGUGGGGGUGGGCGUCGCUGGCACGUUGGGUCCUGAGGGAGCGAGCUUCUUCGGUGACUACGGCGGGGGGCGGGGGGCUUCGGUCGCGCGGGCCGCGGUACCGCGUCUGGUCGCGGUGGCGGGGGGCCGUCUGUACUUCGAGAACUGCACAGUGGACGCGAUCUUUGUGGCCAAGUUACUAAGGGCG
Molecule: unclassified non-coding RNA, 742 nt
Filed under: uncultured Frankia sp.
Lineage: Bacteria; Bacillati; Actinomycetota; Actinomycetes; Frankiales; Frankiaceae
Description: bacterial SSU rRNA
Rfam family: Bacterial small subunit ribosomal RNA (bases 1-421)
Source: RNAcentral